RNAcentral lists this ribosomal RNA (464 nucleotides) under uncultured bacterium. RNAcentral describes it as "bacterial SSU rRNA". It matches the Rfam family "Bacterial small subunit ribosomal RNA", at positions 535 to 1008 of the family's 1533-position model. The record is from RNAcentral.
CAAGCGUUGUCCGGAAUUAUUGGGCGUAAAGCGCGCGCAGGCGGUUUCUUAAGUCCAUCUUAAAAGCGUGGGGCUCAACCCCAUGAGGGGAUGGAAACUGGGAAGCUGGAGUAUCGGAGAGGAAAGUGGAAUUCCUAGUGUAGCGGUGAAAUGCGUAGAGAUUAGGAAGAACACCGGUGGCGAAGGCGACUUUCUAGACGAAAACUGACGCUGAGGGACGAAAGCGUGGGGAGCAAACAGGAUUAGAUACCCUGGUAGUCCACGCCGUAAACGAUGAUCAUUAGUCGGUGGGAGCCACUGACGCAGCUAACGCAUUAAAUGAUCCGCCUGAGUAGUAUGCUCGCAAGAGUGAAACUUAAAGGAAUUGACGGGGACCCGCACAAGCGGUGGAGCAUGUGGUUUAAUUUGAGGAUACGCGGAGAACCUUACCCACUCUUGACAUCCUCUGCAAAGCUAUAGAGAUA